CACAUUAGUUAGUUGGUGGGGUAAAGGCUUAACAAGACUAUGAUGUGUAGCCGGGCUGAGAGGUUGAACGGCCACAUUGGGACUGAGACACGGCCCAAACUCCUACGGGAGGCAGCAGUAGGGAAUUUUCGGCAAUGGAGGAAACUCUGACCGAGCAACGCCGCGUGAACGAUGAAGUAUUUCGGUACGUAAAGUUCUUUUAUUAGGGAAGAAUAAAUGAUGGAAAAAUCAUUCUGACGGUACCUAAUGAAUAAGCCCCGGCUAACUAUGUGCCAGCAGCCGCGGUAAUACAUAGGGGGCAAGCGUUAUCCGGAACUAUUGGGCGUAAAGGGUGCGUAGGCGGUUAAAUAAGUUUAUGGUCUAAGUUCAAUGCUCAACAUUGUGAUGCUAUAAAAACUGUUUAGCUAGAGUAAGAUAGAGGCAAGUGGAAUUCCAUGUGUAGUGGUAAAAUGCGUAAAUAUAUGGAGGAACACCAGUAGCGAAGGCGGCUUGCUGGGUCUUUACUGACGCUGAGGCACGAAAGCGUGGGGAGCAAACAGGAUUAGAUACCCUGGUAGUCCACGCCGUAAACGAUGAGUACUAAACGUUGGGUAAAACCAGUGUUGAAGUUAACACAUUAAGUACUCCGCCUGAGUAGUACGUACGCAAGUAUGAAACUUAAAGGAAUUGACGGGACUCCGCACAAGCGGUGGAUCAUGUUGUUUAAUUCGAAGGUACCCGAAAAACCUCACCAGGUCUUGACAUGCUUCUGCCAAGCUGUAGAAAUACAGUGGAGGUUAUCAGUUGCACAGGUGGUGCAUGGUUGUCGUCAGCUCGUGUCGUGAGAUGUUGGGUUAAGUCCCGCAACGAGCGCAACCCUUAUUGUUAGUUACCACCACGUAAUGGUGGGGACUUUAGCCAGACUGCCAGUGAUAAAUUGGAGGAAGGUGGGGACGACGUCAAAUCAUCAUGCCCCUUAUGACCUGGGCUACAAACGUGAUACAAUGGCUGUUACAAAG
RNAcentral lists this ribosomal RNA (998 nucleotides) under 'Psammotettix alienus' phytoplasma. RNAcentral describes it as "bacterial SSU rRNA". It matches the Rfam family "Bacterial small subunit ribosomal RNA", at positions 237 to 1244 of the family's 1533-position model. The record is from RNAcentral. Lineage: Bacteria; Bacillati; Mycoplasmatota; Mollicutes; Acholeplasmatales; Acholeplasmataceae.